Long non-coding RNA from Oxyura jamaicensis (ruddy duck), 290 nucleotides. RefSeq lists it as uncharacterized. The record is from RefSeq and is a predicted model, not a curated record. Lineage: Eukaryota; Metazoa; Chordata; Aves; Anseriformes; Anatidae. The transcript has 2 exons.
UUGCAAUUGCAAUGGCGGGCAUCCCACAAGCAGGAGAGCGCACCUACUAGUUCCAUAACACAGUUUAUAUACCUUUUUUCUCGAGGACCGGGCCCCUCCCCUGUUUCACCACUGACUGGGUAAUCCAGGUUCACAACCUAUCCAAUGCUUCACAGACAAUACAUGGCCUUCAGUUGUCGGCCUAUUAUAAGUCAAAUUUAUUUUGACUUUUAUACUCUUUUAGGUGGUAAUGUUUCUUACACAGUGAUUUCCACCUAAUUGCUCUAAGGAUUCUGGUUGUCUGCAUUUUA